GUGCUUGCUUCGGCAGCACAUAUACUAAAAUGGAACAAUACAGAGAAGAGUAGCACGGCCCAUAGGCAAGAAUUACAAGUCAAUUCACAAAGCAUUCCAUAUUUUU
This is a small nuclear RNA of Mus spicilegus (steppe mouse), 106 nucleotides long. The record is from Ensembl. Lineage: Eukaryota; Metazoa; Chordata; Mammalia; Rodentia; Muridae.